Long non-coding RNA from Gossypium raimondii (Peruvian cotton), 2346 nucleotides. RefSeq lists it as uncharacterized. The record is from RefSeq and is a predicted model, not a curated record. The transcript has 7 exons. Lineage: Eukaryota; Viridiplantae; Streptophyta; Magnoliopsida; Malvales; Malvaceae.
UUUAAUUGUUUUCUAAACGCUGUCGUUUAUAGCUGUGAAUUUAGCAGCGUUAGUGGCGCUUUUGAUAAACGCCGUAGAGUUUAAGUAAAAUCACUCUAAACGUGGUAGUUUACUUAGCCCCGAUUUUCCUUAGUUCCCCCAACUCAGAUUUCCCCAAAUUGAUUUCCCUAAUUUCCCAUUUCAUAUUCUCCCAAUUUCCCUGAUUUCAAAUCCCCAAUUUCCCCGAUAUCAUUUCCCCAAAUUUCGAACUGAGGUGUCCAACGCCGGUGCCGUUGCAGUCGUCUCCACUUCGGCUUCCUCUGUUAGACGCUUCCUCUGUCGCCCGCGUCCUCCCUUUGCAAAAAUCAUUUGACAGCCAGUUUCGCCAUUUGCAAAAUUGAAUUUUUUGUUAGAUUUAGGUUUUGGCAUUUUCUUUAUCCUAUUCUGCUUGUUAAAAUUUGUUCCGACAUUGCACUAAUUUUCAUUCUCCUAUUCUAUUGUUUUCUUCUUUCUUGUUCGUGUGGAGUAUGCGGAAAUUGGGUUUCAAUUAUUUUGUUCUUUUCUUGAUUUUGUUCCCAAUCUGUUGUUGUUGGGUAAUUUAAUUUUGGUGGUGUUCGUGGGUGUUGUUUGGGUGAUAACAUUGGUAGUGUUCGUGGGUGAUAAUUUGGUUCUUAUGUCGUCGAGGUUAAGGUUAUUUAAUUUUGUUUUCUAUUUGCAAGCUGGUUUAUGUAAAUAUUUGCUAUCAGUCUAUGUGGGUAUCUACUGUACUGGGUUUAUGAAUGUUACUUUGUUUUCUUGCAGGGUCUUGGUUUGUGGAAACAUUUAAGUUAUCAGCAUUAGUUGGCAAAUAACAAUAUUGUUCCAGUGCAGGUUGCAGUUCUUUGCCAAGAUAAAAUACCUAGAAGAAAAGUGCGACAUCUAAGCAUUGCACAAAAUACUCCAAACUCGGCAGAAACAAAUAGUGAAUAACAGACUGCUAUUGGAUCUUCGAAUGUUUCGAUUACACCUGAUGAACCUACAGAAAUUCAAACUGAAAGUGGUGGGACGCACAGAGUUCGAGGACAUACUCUACAUAGGGAUUUAAACGAGUUAGAUCCAGUCGAGUGUGUCAAAGUAUGUAGUAAUAGUUUUGGUCAGCCUAUUGGAUCAGAAGCUCGACUUUUAGCAUGAUACUUGGGCAUUCUAGCACGAAAUGCAAAUAUGUUACCUAUCAACUACGAGUCAUGGCAUAAAAUGCCCGAUAGUAACAAAAACCAAACUCUCGAUAAUAUUAAGGCGAGGUUUGCUCUAGAGGUCUUGGAUUCUUAUGUAAAGAAGGCAUUGGGAAAAAGAUGGAGAGACCAUAAAAGUACUUUAAAUAAAGAUUAUUAUAAGACAAAAACAACCCUUGACGAGAAAUUACAAAAUGUCCCGCCGAGAAUGCUGAGGUACCAAUGAGAAGAGGCGGUUAGAUUUUGGAAUUCGAAGAAAGGAGAGGAUCGUGAACGAGUUGGAAAGAGCAGCAGGCAGAAACAAAAAUUAAUCACAUAGCUGGGUCAAAAAGUUUUGCUUGUGUAGUUGAGGCCGAGGAACUGUCGUCCUGUCAAAAAGUUGGACGCCUUCAACUUUUUGACAUUACACAUAGGAAGAAAGAUGGAUCUCCUAUUACUCUUGAAGCUGCAGAAAUUAUGGAAAAACUAAAGGAUAAAAAGGCAGAGUACGAACCGAUUGCUUCUAGUAAUAGUUCUGUUCAUAUUGACGACAUUGAUAACCGGAUUAUUACUGAAGUUUUAGUUCCUGAAAGGUAUGGUCAGGUUCGAUUUCAAGGAUAUUUUGUUAACCCAACCCAAUAUUUUGGAUCCAGCUUGCAAUAAUACAUGCCUUCGGGGAGUCAGGCUCAAGCUGAAGUUCAGAGGUUAAGAGACCAGAUUGCUCAGAUGCAAGCGACCAGAGUUGAGCAAAUUACACAACUUAAAGCGGAGGCAGUAUCGAGAGAAGCUAAGGUUCAAAGAAGAUAUGAAGAACUCCAGCUACAAGUUAAAGCAGAUGUAGCAGCUGAGGUUUAAAAGAAGUAUGAAGAACUCCAGCUGCAACUUAAAGUAGAUACGGCAGCAAGGGAAGCAGAGGCAGUAGUGAGAGAAGCAGAGGCUACAGUGAGGGAAGCAGAGCAGAGCAGAAAGUACGGCGAACUCCAACAGCAGCUUUAAAAUAUGAUGAAGAUGUUUCAACAGUCGCAACAUCCACCGUCUUAGACUAUCGUGUAAAUAUUUUUAUCAUUUUAACUUUUAACAUUUUUGUAAGAAUAAUAUGAAUUGUAUUUUAUUUAUUGAUAUUGAUAUUAUAUAUUAUUCAUUUAAUUUUAAAUAUUAUAUAGAUUUAUUGCUUUCA